Molecule: transfer-messenger RNA, 302 nt
Filed under: Actinomycetota bacterium
Lineage: Bacteria; Bacillati; Actinomycetota
Description: partial transfer-messenger RNA
Rfam family: transfer-messenger RNA
About the family: Bacterial tmRNA, also known as 10Sa RNA or SsrA, is named for its dual tRNA and mRNA-like properties. Its role is to liberate the mRNA from a stalled ribosome.
Source: RNAcentral
UGGUCUCCGGAACCACGUAAAAGAGCCGGAACCAAAAACAAACGCCGAGCCUCAGCUCGCGUUCGCUGCCUAAACACCAGCGACGUCCGCCCAGCCUCAGCCCUACGGGCUGGAAAGCGGGCGUCAUGAAGUAGGGCUUACCCCACGGUCACUCCGGCUGGUCGUGGGGGACACCAAGCCGGAUACGGGGUGCCGUCGUCGCCAGUAGCGGAGGCGUCCCUGACAAUCCAUCGCUGGCUGCGCUCGGAGAAGGCCCACUGAGAUGCCCGAGGACGCGGGUUCGAUUCCCGCCACCUCCACGU